This 435-nucleotide ribosomal RNA is filed under the name uncultured bacterium. RNAcentral's name for it is "bacterial SSU rRNA". It matches the Rfam family "Bacterial small subunit ribosomal RNA", at positions 958 to 1392 of the family's 1533-position model. The record is from RNAcentral.
AACGCGAAGAACCUUACCAAGUCUUGACAUCCCCCUGACCGGAACUUAACGGUUCCUUUCCUACGGGACAGGGGAGACAGGUGGCGCAUGGUUGUCGUCAGCUCGUGUCGUGAGAUGUUGGGUUAAGUCCCGCAACGAGCGCAACCCUUAUUCUUAGUAGCCAGCAGGUAAAGCUGGGCACUCUAGGGAGACUGCCAGGGAUAACCUGGAGGAAGGUGGGGAUGACGUCAAAUCAUCAUGCCCCUUAUGAUUUGGGCUACACACGUGCGACAAUGGCGUAAACAAAGAGAAGCAAGACCGCGAGGUGGAGCAAAUCUCAAAAAUAACGUCUCAGUUCGGAUUGCAGGCUGCAACUCGCCUGCAUGAAGCUGGAAUCGCUAGUAAUCGCGAAUCAGAAUGUCGCGGUGAAUACGUUCCCGGGUCUUGUACACACCG